RNAcentral lists this ribosomal RNA (429 nucleotides) under Gemmatimonadota bacterium. RNAcentral's name for it is "Gemmatimonadetes bacterium partial 16S ribosomal RNA". It matches the Rfam family "Bacterial small subunit ribosomal RNA", at positions 355 to 776 of the family's 1533-position model. The record is from RNAcentral. Lineage: Bacteria; Pseudomonadati; Gemmatimonadota.
UAGGGAAUCUUCGGCAAUGGACGAAAGUCUGACCGAGCAACGCCGCGUGAGUGAAGAAGGUUUUCGGAUCGUAAAACUCUGUUGUUAGAGAAGAACAAGGACGUUAGUAACUGAACGUCCCCUGACGGUAUCUAACCAGAAAGCCACGGCUAACUACGUGCCAGCAGCAGCGGUAAUACGUAGGUGGCAAGCGUUGUCCGGAUUUAUUGGGCGUAAAGCGAGCGCAGGCGGUUUCUUAAGUCUGAUGUGAAAGCCCCCGGCUCAACCGGGGAGGGUCAUUGGAAACUGGGAGACUUGAGUGCAGAAGAGGAGAUUGGAAUUCCAUGUGUAGCGGUGAAAUGCGUAGAUAUAUGGAGGAACACCAGUGGCGAAGGCGGCUCUCUGGUCUGUAACUGACGCUGAGGCUCGAAAGCGUGGGGAGCAAACAGG